RNAcentral lists this ribosomal RNA (497 nucleotides) under uncultured bacterium. RNAcentral describes it as "partial 16S ribosomal RNA". It matches the Rfam family "Bacterial small subunit ribosomal RNA", at positions 28 to 507 of the family's 1533-position model. The record is from RNAcentral.
GAUGAACGCUGGCGGCGUGCCUAAUACAUGCAAGUCGAGCGAACAGACGAGGAGCUUGCUCCUCUGACGUUAGCGGCGGACGGGUGAGUAACACGUGGAUAACCUACCUAUAAGACUGGGAUAACGUCGGGAAACCGGAGCUAAUACCGGAUAACAUGUUGAACCGCAUGGUUCAACAGUGAAAGACGGUCUUGCUGUCACUUAUAGAUGGAUCCGCGCCGCAUUAGCUAGUUGGUAAGGUAACGGCUUACCAAGGCAACGAUGCGUAGCCGACCUGAGAGGGUGAUCCGCCACACUGGAACUGAGACACGGUCCAGACUCCUACGGGAGGCAGCAGUAGGGAAUCUUCCGCGAUGGGCGAAAGCCUGACGGAGCAACGCCGCGUGAGUGAAGAAGGUCUUCGGAUCGUAAAACUCUGUUAUUAGGGAAGAACAAAUGUGUAAGUAACUAUGCACGUCUUGACGGUACCUAAUCAGAAAGCCACGGCUAACUACGUG